GAAAAGUUGAGCAAAACGGAAAUGGACAAACAAACGCUCGCUCAUGAGAUGUUUACAUACACGUUUGCAGCGUUGAAGAGCGGUGCUGCUGGUGACAUUAAUAAACCGAGAACAACAUGAAUUUAAUGAGUCGUUCAGGUUGUUCCUUUAUAAAUCGUCGCGGUGGGAUCGUUUAGUUUGUCCUGCGGUUGGAAAUGUUUGUAUGGAGCGUUGGGUGUUUUGUGAUUAUGAACGCGUUGCUGUUUAUCGCGCGAGCUCUUGUAAUCAAUGCAGCAUUAUCCAUUGAUCAUCAAGAGGAAUCACAGCGCAGAAAAGAGAUCAGGCGAAGUAUCAGUUCUUCACAGCAGUACGCAGAGGACGCCAUCUCAGGCCACGCCCCCUGCACCUUAUUAGGUCAGUGGGCGGGGCAGAGAAGCAGCAGACACGCCUCACAGCGGAGCGAGACGAAGCCUUCAGCGUUUGGAGUCUCCUUCCACAAGUGCGCUCAGGUG
Molecule: long non-coding RNA, 491 nt
Organism: Sinocyclocheilus anshuiensis
Lineage: Eukaryota; Metazoa; Chordata; Actinopteri; Cypriniformes; Cyprinidae
Exons: 3
Source: RefSeq, a predicted model, not a curated record